UCUACUCAGGCCGGGCGAGGGAUUUGGAAGUCGGUCUCGAGUGAGCGCCUUGACCCGCCGCGGCUUCCGGACCCCGAAACGUGCGUGGCCCAGCACAGCCCUUGCGCUUCCUUCUUUCAUUUCAUUUCUGAUGAUAUCUCCUGAAAGCCUUCCAGGUGCUCAGCCAAGUGCUGUGACAAAACAAAGGCGAAAGAAGGGGCCGAUGGGAUACAAAUGAUGCCCAGCAAGACUUCCAGUACAUCCUGUCUAAAGAGAUCAACACAGUCUUCCAGACGGAUCCCAAGACCCUUUCCCUUCAUCUAAGAUGAGACAGAGCGAGAGUUCUGUGAAUCUCUGAUAGGUAGAGACAACAGCCACAUUCAGCAGGAAGCAGAUACAGAAGAGAUCUCCUGUCCCUCAACUUCCCAUAGAGAUUUAUGGGGAUCAUGUAUCUAAGGGAGACAUGAGGCAGGCAGUUAGAGACAAGAAUUGGAUCUCCAAUAUACCCAAACACAUCAGGUAACAUUCCUGCACAUCCAACAUGGCCUACAAAGAGCGACCACCCAGAAGACCUCCCGUCUCUGCCCAAAUCUUUCUCUUAUCCACUAUAACCAUCAACCACUAUGAGGAAGCUAAAGGACACAAAAUACCUAACUAGAUUAGACGAGUCACUCAUACCUGCACAGUAAAGACUACGACCUUCAUCUCACCUUAGCCUCAUUAUACCAUUAUUAUAAUAUCAUACAUAUGCCCAGAAGUUCAUUAAUAUCAUUAUAAUAGACUGAAUUCUGGGACUGAACAUGCACAGUCUUAAAUGAUAAGGUAAUACUCUCCUGUCGAUCAUAAAUGCCAAUCGAGAGACCCCACACCCAGAGGGGAGUAGCCUAUUCUAGAAGAGAAAGAAAGAAAAACGCCAGUCAGUGCCUUUGAAGCCACUCUGCUGCUCAGGCCGACCCCUCUCUCUUU
Molecule: long non-coding RNA, 945 nt
Organism: Rhinolophus ferrumequinum (greater horseshoe bat)
Lineage: Eukaryota; Metazoa; Chordata; Mammalia; Chiroptera; Rhinolophidae
Exons: 3
Source: RefSeq, a predicted model, not a curated record